Molecule: long non-coding RNA, 1529 nt
Organism: Acanthaster planci (crown-of-thorns starfish)
Lineage: Eukaryota; Metazoa; Echinodermata; Asteroidea; Valvatida; Acanthasteridae
Source: RefSeq, a predicted model, not a curated record
AAAGAAAAAAAACCUGAAAAAGCUUUGUAUUUCCCGAAAGGGUCGAUGUAUAUUUAUUCCAAAUGAUACAGUUAGAGAAGUUUCAAAAAGCUCUGUGUAAGGAGUGUAGUCCUUUGCCUGUGGCUCUUCUGUCAUCAAAACCACAGGUGUCCUUGAGUGGCCUGCCUGGCCAAAACCGCAGAGUGGGUUGGGGGGAUUUGUAUACAACUAUUGAUAACUUCAUUCUGGGGAGAUUGUGGGGAAUUUUUUUCAGAAGCCUUCAACAUUUCACAACAACACUCCACAAAGUUUAUCCUCAACUUUUCCCGGACGAGAUUUGAGAUGACUCCUAACCACCUUAGUAAUUAGCUUUUAACCAUUAGGAAUUUAGACGCGCAUUUCAUAUCUUAAACUGGUUGUCAAAGUUUAUUGGAAGUGUAAAAAAGGUUGGGAUAGUUUGCACAGUUUGACCUCAUCGGAUUCAAAACCAGAGAGAGACUGACAUGUUGUAGUCAAAGCAGAAGUUUAAAUAUUACCGGCACAUUAAAUCCAGUUGUGUUACAGCAAAAUGCUGUAUUCCACAUUCAUCUUUCCCAACCGGGGUUCACUGUUGUUGUGUUUUGUGGGUUCGUUUUCUUAUUUCAAGUCAUCGUAAAUCCCUGACGAUGAAGAGUCAUCAUUACAUUUCUCACUGAUGCCUGACUCAUGUCACAUGAUUGAGUAUCCUGACUCGUCUACCUUUCUGCCUGCUGAACUUGUGAAUAUCCUGACUCUGACACCAUGUGGCACCUGUUGGAAUCACAACACAUCACUGAAAUGCAGUCUGCAAGUUGACGGUAACAGCUAAGAUUUGUGGAAAACUUUUGGAAGGGGCAUUGAAGUCUGGGAAUUCGUCCACAGAUCAGUCCAUUGACUAGAUGUUCCAAACCAUCCAUCAUUCAGUGGUCUGCCAUCUUGAAGGAUCAAUUUUCUUGAUGAAGAUGUGUGGGCAAAAACAUCAGCAAGGCCUAAGUGGUUCCUUUCUACUGUGGCAUUUGUUGGGGCUUCCCUUUAACAAACCUAGGCAGCACAAACAGGAGGCGACAAUCGUGCCUGCGGAAACACAUUUUUGUUAAAGGGUGCUGAGGUUGUAAAAUCAUAAAUAUCUGGGGGUUUUCGGUGAUUGUCUGAUGUGGAUGAGUUUGAAUAUGUUUGUGGCUUAACAUGGUCACAGUUGAGGGUGCUAUUUUGUACACCAGCAUCCUUGUCCAAAAAAGUUAGGGGUGCUUUGGCACCCACACCAGCCCCCGUCCCCAGGGGCUUAGCUACAAUGCUCAAAGAUUAGAUUAAAUUAGUUUUAGGCUUUUUGGAAAAGGGAAUACUAGAUGUUUUUAGUUGAACAUGCACAACCUUUUUUCACACAAAAACCCAUAUUUUUAGACUGCUUUUCAAGGGUGGAGUUUUGUCUCUAGAGAAGAAAUCAAUCAUAUUUGAAGCUAUCCUUUCUGUCUUAUCUGAGUAAAUUAAAAUUACAGAGCAUUAGACUCAUUGUUCACUCAAAUGUAGAAAUU